RNAcentral lists this ribosomal RNA (585 nucleotides) under uncultured bacterium. Its description in RNAcentral is "partial 16S ribosomal RNA". It matches the Rfam family "Bacterial small subunit ribosomal RNA", at positions 355 to 1375 of the family's 1533-position model. The record is from RNAcentral.
UGGGGAAUUUUGGACAAUGGGCGCAAGCCUGAUCCAGCCAUUCCGCGUGCAGGAUGAAGGCCCUCGGGUUGUAAACUGCUUUUGUACGGAACGAAAAGGCUUUCUCUAAUACAGAGAGCUCAUGACGGUACCGUAAGAAUAAGCACCGGCUAACUACGUGCCAGCAGCCGCGGUAAUACGUAGGGUGCAAGCGUUAAUCGGAAUUACUGGGCGUAAAGCGUGCGCAGGCGGUGAUGUAAGACAGAUGUGAAAUCCCCGGGCUCAACCUGGGAACUGCAUUUGUGACUGCAUCGCUGGAGUGCGGCAGAGGGGGAUGGAAUUCCGCGUGUAGCAGUGAAAUGCGUAGAUAUGCGGAGGAACACCGAUGGCGAAGGCAAUCCCCCGGGCCUGCACUGACGCUCAUGCACGAAAGCGUGGGGAGCAAACAGGAUUAGAUACCCUGGUAGUCCACGCCCUAAACGAUGUCAACUGGUUGUUGGGUCUUCACUGACUCAGUAACGAAGCUAACGCGUGAAGUUGACCGCCUGGGGAGUACGGCCGCAAGGUUGAAACUUAAAUGAAUUGACGGGGUCAUAGCUGUUUCCU